GAAUUCACUAGUGAUUCAGGCCUAACACAUGCAAGUCGAACGCUUUGUGGUUCAACUGAUAUGAAGAGCUUGCUUGGAUUUGAAGAUGAACAUUGCAAAGAGUGGCGAACGGGUGAGUAACACGUGGGAAACCUACCUCUUAGCGGGGGAUAACACUUGGAAACAAGUGCUAAUACCGCAUAAUACUGAUAACCGCAUGGUUAUCAGUUGAAAGAUGGUUCUGCUAUCACUAAGAGAUGGUCCCGCGGUGUAUUAGCUAGUUGGUAAGGUAAUGGCUUACCAAGGCAAUGAUACAUAGCCGAGUUGAGAGACUGAUCGGCCACAAUGGGACUGAGACACGGCCCAUACUCCUACGGGAGGCAGCAGUAGGGAAUCUUCCACAAUGGACGAAAGUCUGAUGGAGCAACGCCGCGUGUGUGAUGAAGGGUUUCGGCUCGUAAAAAAAGGGUGUAAGAGAAGAAUGACAUUGAGAGUAACUGUUCAGUGUGUGAC
RNAcentral lists this ribosomal RNA (492 nucleotides) under uncultured bacterium. RNAcentral describes it as "bacterial SSU rRNA". It matches the Rfam family "Bacterial small subunit ribosomal RNA", at positions 34 to 473 of the family's 1533-position model. The record is from RNAcentral.